RNAcentral lists this ribosomal RNA (495 nucleotides) under uncultured bacterium. RNAcentral's name for it is "partial 16S ribosomal RNA". It matches the Rfam family "Bacterial small subunit ribosomal RNA", at positions 28 to 523 of the family's 1533-position model. The record is from RNAcentral.
GAUGAACGCUGGCGGCGUGCUUAACACAUGCAAGUCGAACGAAGCACUUAUCUUUGAUUCUUCGGAUGAAGAGGUUUGUGACUGAGUGGCGGACGGGUGAGUAACGCGUGGGUAACCUGCCUCAUACAGGGGGAUAACAGUUAGAAAUGACUGCUAAUACCGCAUAAGACCACAGAGCCGCAUGGCUCAGUGGGAAAAACUCCGGUGGUAUGAGAUGGACCCGCGUCUGAUUAGGUAGUUGGUGGGGUAACGGCCUACCAAGCCGACGAUCAAUAGCCGACCUGAGAGGGUGAACGGCCACAUUGGGACUGAGACACGGCCCAAACUCCUACGGGAGGCAGCAGUGGGGAAUAUUGCACAAUGGGGGAAACCCUGAUGCAGCGACGCCGCGUGAGCGAAGAAGUAUUUCGGUAUGUAAAGCUCUAUCAGCAGGGAAGAAAAUGACGGUACCUGACUAAGAAGCACCGGCUAAAUACGUGCCAGCAGCCGCCGUAA